Long non-coding RNA from Stegostoma tigrinum, 2446 nucleotides. RefSeq lists it as uncharacterized. NCBI's taxonomy places the organism in Eukaryota, Metazoa, Chordata, Chondrichthyes, Orectolobiformes, Stegostomatidae. The transcript has 3 exons. The record is from RefSeq and is a predicted model, not a curated record.
AUCUCUGGUUGAGCCGGGGAAGAAUCCACAGCAAAGAAAUUGUGGUAAAAUUGACAGCCUCUGGGAAAGUGCUCUAAAAAAAACAAAUAAAAGCAAACUGCCAAGCACAUUUUCACGAAUGCGGUAUGUUUUUAAUUGAGGAUCAGAAAAACAGUAUUAGUGAAUCUCCUGAUUCGGACUGCACUCUGAUAUUAAUUGCAUUGAUUCUACAACAACGUAUCCUUGCCUGUGGAUCUAAUAAGAGGCCAAGCGUUCUAUUUCCAAAGCCGGGAGGGAGGAACACGAUAGCCCUUAGGCUGAGAUCCCAUGACACUCUCAGCUGCUGCUGACACUGCAGCUGUUAGAUCACAUGUCAAAACCUGCAGCGACUGACUUUUGUCUGUGUCACGACACAACCUCUUCACUAACAAUCGCUUCAGGCUUCCCGAGGUGAGGAGCUUGCUGUACUCGACCGGCAUAAGAGUGCAGCUCCUGGGAAAGGGAAGAGACGGAGAUGGAGAAUCCGAGCUGUUGGCACAGAGGGAACGGUACUCGAUGCUACAUCUGACCUCUUUCUUUCGCAUUCAUUCUCCGCGAGGGAGCAAGCCUCAGACGAGGAGGAGCCACAGGCGAUGAUCUGAACUGAUUGGCACCGCGCCGCAUCUCCUAUUGACAAUGACUAAACAGGGGGUAGAGCUACACUACGUACCCCUCUCGAUGGACACUCUCGCAUGGAUGUAACCACAGAUGAGGGCAGAUAGUCGGUUACUAUGGCCACCUUGAGAGUCAGCUACACUUUGGAGAUUUGUGCCUUGGAGCUGAUUUGAUUGAUGUGGAUACUGCUUAUUCUACAUUGCUUUGGUGAAGAUCAAGGUAACCAACAACUGUAGCAGCACCUGUUAGAAGCAACAGUGACAAUAGCCUGUAGCUCAGAAAGCAGCAGUUCCAUAGGGAAAGGCGGAUCACAGAGUGGUGUAGCCUGCAAGGGGUGAAACUGGCACGUACGGUCCAUAGACAGACGUCCAAGCACGUCUCAGGAGGCUCAGGAUAUCCCUCUGGACUGAGGUAAACACAUGCAGCCUGCUGGAACAAGAUUGACUCCAAUCUGGACCUUGCGGGGGCUCUUUUCCCAGAGGCUGUCAAUUUUACCACCACUUCUUUGCUGUGGAUUCUUUCUGGGCUCAACCAGAGACUUUUACAGGAUCUCAGAGUUGGCAACCCACAAAUGCACAAGGCAGACAGUCAUAACUUGUUUUUAGAGCUGGCAUUUGUGUCAACAUCGCCUGUGGUGGUACCAAUCAGAAUGAGCAGCAUUUGGGUUCAGGCUCUGGCUGGGUUCCCCUCAGUGAAGGGCAUCAUAAAUUGCAUGUGUGAAGGAAUGACACCACCUUGAGGUCACCCAGGAUUGUUCAUCAACCACAAGAACUUCUACUCCAUUAACGUGGAGCUGAUUGUGAUGAGAGCUGUGUGUGCAAGAUUCCUGGGAAUACUUUCAUCCUGCAGCAUUCACUUCACACCUCAAAACAUAAUUCCCAGCUAACUACUGGACUUGUGAGAUACCCACUUAACAUGUGGCUGAUGACACCCAUGAGGAAGGCAAUCAAUGAAACACCAGUUUGAUGUAGUGAAAGCCAUCUGAACGUCUGAUGUGCGGUUGAGCAAGCCAUUGACGUUCAAAAUGGAUUCCAGGUGCCAGAUAUGGAGAUUGAAACACACAAAAUAGGAGCAGGAGUAGGCUGUUCAGCCCUUUGAGCUUGCUUCAUCAUUCAAUAUGAUUGUGAUUGAUCAUCUAAUUAGGUACCCAGUUCCUGUUGUUCCCCCAUAACCUUUGAUUCCUUUAGUCCUAAGAACAAUAUCUAAUUUUAAAGAUGUCUCCGUGUGCACCAGCCAGAGUUUCCAAAAUGGUUGUGGAAUGCUCUGCUCUAUGAUUUGAUUUGAUUUUUGAACUAGCAUGAGGAACAAGGCACAAAAUAUGCAGCCACUUCAGACAGCUCCAAGGAGGAAUAUGUGCAAUGUGAAUUGACCAAUUCACCAGCAAUGGUACAACCAAAACUGUACCCAGGAUGGCCUUAUUAUUGUUAAGUUAAAUUAAGUUCAACCAGUUCACAUGUCUGACAAUCAUGUAUAAAAGUCACUUUGGUGUCCAGGAAUCAGUGGAUUUGGAGAGUGGGCAGGAAAAUACAGCUGAAGUCAAAGACCAACAUGAAUGUACUGAAUGUGAGAACAAGCACAUUAGGCUGUACAGUUUACUCUGACUCAGAUUUUGUGUUCUUUUCUCUUCCCCCACCUUGGCUACCAACCAUCCAUGACACGCAUACACAGCAGUCCUGCAAACAACCAGAUAUCUCUUUUAUUACUCCACCAUUGCUCUGUGUCAAUUCAUAUCCAUCUAUUCAUCACAAAUGGAAAAUCACUCGUCAAGCAAUGAUCAAAAAUGAGGAAGAUGAGAGAGAUUGAAAUAAUUAUU